RNAcentral lists this ribosomal RNA (446 nucleotides) under uncultured bacterium. RNAcentral describes it as "bacterial SSU rRNA". It matches the Rfam family "Bacterial small subunit ribosomal RNA", at positions 217 to 662 of the family's 1533-position model. The record is from RNAcentral.
GGUAUGGGAUGAGCUUGCGUCCGAUUAGCUAGUUGGCGGGGCAACGGCCCACCAAGGCGACGAUCGGUAGCCGGCCUGAAAGGGUGAUCGGCCACAUUGGGACUGAGAUACGGCCCAGACUCCUACGGGAGGCAGCAGUAGGGAAUAUUGCACAAUGGGGGAAACCCUGAUGCAGCAACGCCACGUGUGGGAAGAAGCAUUUCGGUGUGUAAACCACUGUCAUGAGGGAAUAAGGCCCGCCUUCGGACGGGAUUGAAUGUACCUUGAGAGGAAGCACCGGCAAACUUCGUGCCAGCAGCCGCGGUAAUACGAGGGGUGCAAGCGUUGUUCGGAAUUACUGGGCGUAAAGGGAGCGUAGGCGGAGAUUCAAGCGGAUUGUACAAUCCCGGGGCCCAACCCCGGCUCUGCAGUCCGAACUGGAUCUCUUGGAUAGUUCAGGGGCAGGC